This 492-nucleotide ribosomal RNA is filed under the name uncultured bacterium. RNAcentral describes it as "partial 16S ribosomal RNA". It matches the Rfam family "Bacterial small subunit ribosomal RNA", at positions 29 to 507 of the family's 1533-position model. The record is from RNAcentral.
AGUGAACGCUGGCGGUAGGCCUAACACAUGCAAGUCGAACGGCAGCACAGUAAGAGCUUGCUCUUACGGGUGGCGAGUGGCGGACGGGUGAGGAAUACAUCGGAAUCUACUUUUUCGUGGGGGAUAACGUAGGGAAACUUACGCUAAUACCGCAUACGACCUACGGGUGAAAGCAGGGGAUCUUCGGGCCUUGCGCGAUUGAAUGAGCCGAUGUCGGAUUAGCUAGUUGGCGGGGUAAAGGCCCACCAAGGCGACGAUCCGUAGCUGGUCUGAGAGGAUGAUCAGCCACACUGGAACUGAGACACGGUCCAGACUCCUACGGGAGGCAGCAGUGGGGAAUAUUGGACAAUGGGCGCAAGCCUGAUCCAGCCAUACCGCGUGGGUGAAGAAGGCCUUCGGGUUGUAAAGCCCUUUUGUUGGGAAAGAAAAGCAGCAGGUUAAUACCCCGCUGUCCUGACGGUACCCAAAGAAUAAGCACCGGCUAACUUCGUG